Molecule: long non-coding RNA, 420 nt
Organism: Musa acuminata AAA Group (dessert banana)
Lineage: Eukaryota; Viridiplantae; Streptophyta; Magnoliopsida; Zingiberales; Musaceae
Exons: 4
Source: RefSeq, a predicted model, not a curated record
CUGGAGAGAAGGGCUCUAUUGUUGACAUGUAGCGGUAGAUUGAAUCUCCUACACCUAAUCUGCCACUCUGAAGAAUGAAAACCAGAUAUCCAUCAGCAUUAACUGACGAACCAAACUUUGGUCUUACUGCCUAUUCAGGGAGGGGAUCUUUCUUCCAGCACAUAGUGGUAAUGAGUUUAGCAGGUGUUGAGACUCUACAUCUUCAUGAUACAAAUCUACUUAAUAUCUCUUAGACGCAGAGGGAGGGGAUCUUUCUUCCAGUACUUAAUGGUAACAAGGUAGGGAAUCUUUCUUCCAGCGCUUAAUGGUAAUAAGGUUAGCAGGUGUUGGAGACUCUACAUCUUCACAAUAGAAUCCACUUAGUACUUCUUAGAUGCAGAUGUGAAUUUGCAAAUUUGAAAGGAUCACCUUACCUUUGGA